RNAcentral lists this ribosomal RNA (151 nucleotides) under Thyronectria berolinensis. RNAcentral's name for it is "partial 18S ribosomal RNA". It matches the Rfam family "Eukaryotic small subunit ribosomal RNA", at positions 1683 to 1831 of the family's 1831-position model. Lineage: Eukaryota; Fungi; Ascomycota; Sordariomycetes; Hypocreales; Nectriaceae. The record is from RNAcentral.
UACCGAUUGAAUGGCUCAGUGAGGCGUCCGGACUGGCCCAGAGAGGUGGGCAACUACCACUCAGGGCCGGAAAGUUCUCCAAACUCGGUCAUUUAGAGGAAGUAAAAGUCGUAACAAGGUCUCCGUUGGUGAACCAGCGGAGGGAUCAUUA